CUACGGGGUGCAGCAGUCGAGAAUCUUCCGCAAUGGACGAAAGUCUGACGGAGCGACGCCGCGUGCGGGAUGAAGGCCUUCGGGUUGUAAACCGCUGUCAGUGGGGAGGAAAUGCAUCAGGGUUCUCCCUGGUGUUUGACCGAUCCGCAGAGGAAGCGCAGGCUAAGUUCGUGCCAGCAGCCGCGGUAACACGAACUGCGCGAACGUUAUUCGGCAUCACUGGGCUUAAAGAGUUCGUAGGCGGCCUUUCAAGUCGGGUGUGAAAUCCCUCGGCUCAACCGCGGAAUUGCGCCUGAUACUGUUGGGCUUGAGGGGGAUAGGGGUGAGCGGAACUGAUGGUGGAGCGGUGAAAUGCGUUGAUAUCAUCAGGAACACCGGUGGCGAAGGCGGCUCACUGGAUCUCUUCUGACGCUGAGGAACGAAAGCUAGGGGAGCGAACGGGAUUAGAUACCCCAGUAGUC
Molecule: ribosomal RNA, 461 nt
Filed under: uncultured bacterium
Lineage: Bacteria
Description: partial 16S ribosomal RNA
Rfam family: Bacterial small subunit ribosomal RNA
Source: RNAcentral